RNAcentral lists this ribosomal RNA (207 nucleotides) under uncultured bacterium. RNAcentral describes it as "partial 16S ribosomal RNA". It matches the Rfam family "Bacterial small subunit ribosomal RNA", at positions 568 to 774 of the family's 1533-position model. The record is from RNAcentral.
CGCGUAGGUGGUUUGUUAUGUCAGAUGUGAAAGUCCACGGCUCAACCGUGGAAGUGCAUUUGAAACUGGCAGACUUGAGUACUGGAGGGGGUAGUGGAAUUCCCGGUGUAGAGGUGAAAUUCGUAGAUAUCGGGAGGAAUACCGGUGGCGAAGGCGACUGCCUGGCCAGAUAUUGACACUGAGGUGCGAAAGCGUGGGGAGCAAACA